Molecule: ribosomal RNA, 601 nt
Filed under: uncultured bacterium
Lineage: Bacteria
Description: bacterial SSU rRNA
Rfam family: Bacterial small subunit ribosomal RNA
Source: RNAcentral
AAAACUCAAAGGAAUAGACGGGGACCCGCACAAGCGGUGGAGCAUGUGGUUUAAUUCGAAGAUACGCGAAGAACCUUACCUGGACUUGACAUCCUAUUAAUAGGUUAGAGAUAAUUUAGUGCUAGUUUACUAGAAAAUAGUGACAGGUGCUGCACGGCUGUCGUCAGCUCGUGUCGUGAGAUGUUGGGUUAAGUCCCGCAACGAGCGCAACCCUCGUCGUUAGUUGCUAACAGUUCGGCUGAGCACUCUAACGAGACUGCCUGGGUAACCAGGAGGAAGGUGAGGACGACGUCAAGUCAUCAUGGCCCUUAUGUCCAGGGCUACACACGUGCUACAAUGGUUGGGACAAUGAGACGCAAUACCGCGAGGUGGAGCAAAUCUAUAAACCCAAUCUCAGUUCGGAUAGCACUCUGCAACUCGAGUGCUUGAAGCUGGAAUCGCUAGUAAUCGUAGAUCAGCAAUGCUACGGUGAAUACGUUCCCGGGUCUUGUACUCACCGCCCGUCACACCAUGGGAGUUGGUUUCACCCGAAGCCGGAAUGCCAAAUUGGCUACCGUCCACGGUGGGCCCAGCGACUGGGGUGAAGUCGUAACAAGGUAAC